Sorghum bicolor (sorghum) is the source of this 422-nucleotide long non-coding RNA. RefSeq lists it as uncharacterized. Lineage: Eukaryota; Viridiplantae; Streptophyta; Magnoliopsida; Poales; Poaceae. The transcript has 2 exons. The record is from RefSeq and is a predicted model, not a curated record.
CAUCUUCAUAGAACAUACAAGGCGAAACAUUCAUUCUUCAGAGCAUGGAGAAACACACAACCCGCAAUGAUGCAAUAGUAUUUCUUUCAUUGCUACUACUCCUCGGAUGCUUUUCCAUUCGUGCAGAAUGCCGAGCAGCCAUGGAUGAAAUGGAUAUCCAGUAUGUCCCUUCACAUUGCAUCUAUACUCAUGAUUGCCACGGACAAAAUCAGAGUACUCCUUCCUGCUAUUGCUGUGUCCAUAAUAUAGCUCAGUGCUAUGUCGAUCCAGGUGAAUGCCAAAGAAAAUGCUCCGCAAAAUGAAUUCAUAUUUACUUGAAACAAUGUACGGAGUGUAAUUCUUAUGUGGGAGUUGCGUGUGAGCAACGGAAUUGAAUGAAUAAAGACGCAGUGCAAUGUGUGUUGCUGCUUUUAAUUCUUGCA